Oryza barthii is the source of this 187-nucleotide non-coding RNA. Lineage: Eukaryota; Viridiplantae; Streptophyta; Magnoliopsida; Poales; Poaceae. The record is from Rfam.
AAUAAGUGCAUUUGUGUACUAACCGUUUGUCUUAUUUGAAAUUUUUUAUUAGUAUUUUUAUUGCUAUUAGAUGAUAAAACAUGAAUAGUACUUUAUGUGUGACUAAAUAUUUUUAAAUUUUUCACAAAUUUUUUAAAUAAGACGAACGGUCAAACGUUGGGCACGGAUGUCCACAGCUACACUUAUU